This is a long non-coding RNA of Priapulus caudatus, 275 nucleotides long. RefSeq lists it as uncharacterized. The record is from RefSeq and is a predicted model, not a curated record. NCBI's taxonomy places the organism in Eukaryota, Metazoa, Priapulida, Priapulimorpha, Priapulimorphida, Priapulidae. The transcript is spliced from 4 exons.
UUUAGCUAGCUGCCGGACGCGUAGAGGUCCACGCGUGAGCAACGGGAAGGAUGACUGGACGAGACAUCAUGAUUGAAGCUACACUGAUGACGAGAUGAACAAGUAUUCCAUACUCGGUGUCGUCGGAGAAGGUGCUUACGGGUCGUGUUUAAAGGCAAACACAAGGAAACUGAUGAAUUGGUGGCAAUUAAAAAGUUCAAGGACAGCGAAGAUAACAACGAGGUGCGACGUACGACAAUGCAGGAGGUGAAGGUGUUUACGGGGCAGUAUGCAUG